UACCAGCACCCCGAGUGGUCGGGACGAUUAUUGGGCCUAAAGCAUCCGUAGCCGGUUCUACAAGUCUUCCGUUAAAUCCACCUGCUCAACAGAUGGGCUGCGGAAGAUACUAUAGGGCUAGGAGGCGGGAGAGGCAAGCGGUACUCAGUGGGUAAGGGUAAAAUCCUCUGAUCCAUUGAAGACCACCAGUGGCGAAGGCGGCUUGCCAGAACGCGCUCGACGGUGAGGGAUGAAAGCUGGGGGAGCAAACCGG
This 253-nucleotide ribosomal RNA is filed under the name uncultured bacterium. RNAcentral's name for it is "partial 16S ribosomal RNA". It matches the Rfam family "Archaeal small subunit ribosomal RNA", at positions 474 to 727 of the family's 1478-position model. The record is from RNAcentral.